RNAcentral lists this non-coding RNA (44 nucleotides) under Spodoptera frugiperda (fall armyworm). The record is from RNAcentral. Lineage: Eukaryota; Metazoa; Arthropoda; Insecta; Lepidoptera; Noctuidae.
AAUAUCUUGGUCAUCUGAUCCAAUUCAGAUUUGCCGGGAAGUAG